Molecule: ribosomal RNA, 117 nt
Filed under: Escherichia coli
Lineage: Bacteria; Pseudomonadati; Pseudomonadota; Gammaproteobacteria; Enterobacterales; Enterobacteriaceae
Description: partial 16S ribosomal RNA
Rfam family: Bacterial small subunit ribosomal RNA
Source: RNAcentral
UUAAAUUGAAGAGUUUGAUCAUGGCUCAGAUUGAACGCUGGCGGCAGGCCUAACACAUGCAAGUCGAACGGUAACAGGAAGCAGCUUGCUGCUUUGCUGCCGAGUGGCGGACGGGUG